CGCUUUUACGUCUCGUAGGGAUGGGAAGGAAGGACCUGGUGAUGCACAGGGGGUCUUUCCAUCGCCAGAUCUGGUGUAGCACAGCCUCCAGUGUAGCCUUGCAAAGCCGGGGGGGGGGGGGGGGGCACAGCUCAGCCCCCUGAGCUUUGCAGAGCUGCUGGCCCUGCUGGGGAGGAGAGGGAAGCCCCCAGGGUCUCACCCUGCGGGCUUUUUGUGCAAAGCUUUUGUGAGCUGCAAAAAGCUCCCUGCCUGCCUGCAUUUACCAGCCCGGUGGGGUCCUAACGCUUCUUGCUGAGUUUGAGCACGUGGGCUCCUCGAGCCGGGGCAGCUGUGACAGCGAGGGGAUUGAAGUCUGUGCAGCCAGGCUCCUUCUUUCCAUGGCUUUUUAUUUCCUAUUCCCUUUUGAACAUUCAGAGGGUUUUUGAAAAGCCCAGCUUCUUUCUGACAGAGUGAAAUUUUGAAGAUUGUUCAGCUCUGGCAGGAAACAAAGCAGCACUUGACUUUUUGAUUUAGUUUUGUUUCUCCCACUCCUCCUGCUGCUGAGCCUGGUCUCAGCUGCAAUGGUGUCAACCUGGAACAGCGACAUAUCUGCCAAAGCCUGGCCUCUGUUCUUUUUUCCUAAUUUCCCCCUUUUUGCCCCACAAAAGCUCUGAGCCCCCUCUCCUUUGCUCCUUGGUUAGGUGGAGGGAAGCUGGCGGUGUCCCUGGUCCCCUGCACUACUGGGCACGAGCCCUCUGCUCGCUGCCCUGAAAUAAUCCAGAUACCGCAGGGCUUCUGCAAUUAGAAGGAAAAAGGGCAAAAGAGGAGACCACAGUCUAAGUAAGGGAUGCCUUUUAGAACAGCAAAUGCAAGGAUUUUAUUUAUUUUUAGGGGUGCCAGGCACUUGCACACAGUGUGCAGGUAGUGGGGGCUCUGCAAGCCAUCACCCUCCCCAGAAUCCCAUCAGCUGCACGUUCUGGGUCAUUUUUGGCUUUUUUGCUCCCCUCUGAACAAAUCUUCCCCCUUGACCAGGACAGGCUGCUCUGCCCAGUUUGCAGCCAGCAGGGAGAGGUUCCACUUGAAUUUCUCUUUUCUCAUUACCUUUUUCUAAUGACACACACAGAGAAGCCAUACGAUGUCAGGAGUUGGAGAUCUUCUUUUUUUAGUUUCAUGUAAACCAUGUGGGCUGCCUCGCGGACACGUUGCCCUAAGCAUUUCCUAUGAAAACACAUUGCUUGUAUGUUAGUGGUGGUGACCCCUAGCAUGGUGGCUCUACCCGCUUCUGGAGCCAGCCUCAGCCUGACGAUGUUGGCUUUGGUGGCUGCUGUCAUCCUCCCUGCUGGGCAGCAUCGUCCCCGUGGGCAGAAAAUCAGUUUGCUGCUUUCCCCCAGGAGGAAUUUUUGGAAAAUGCGUAUAAGAGGUGGGGGGGAGGGGGAA
Molecule: long non-coding RNA, 1416 nt
Organism: Oxyura jamaicensis (ruddy duck)
Lineage: Eukaryota; Metazoa; Chordata; Aves; Anseriformes; Anatidae
Exons: 2
Source: RefSeq, a predicted model, not a curated record